UGUGGGGUAGCAGCACAGCAGCAAUGGAAAACGGCUGAUGCAUCAGCAAGAGGCAGGGUUGGACCCCAGGAAGACACAACCAGAGGUUCCCAGAGAAGUGUCACCAAGCCUGCGGAGGAUCAUAUGCGAUGAAGACCAUCUGCUUUAUCCGAAGAUUUUCAGCCGAUGAGGAGCUAGGAGGCUCAAACACUGUCUUGUCUGGGUCCAGGCCGAGUGACUUGGAGAGCGUGCUCUUCCCUGGCAGGGCAGGAUGGCCC
This is a long non-coding RNA of Propithecus coquereli (Coquerel's sifaka), 257 nucleotides long. RefSeq lists it as uncharacterized. The record is from RefSeq and is a predicted model, not a curated record. The transcript is spliced from 3 exons. Lineage: Eukaryota; Metazoa; Chordata; Mammalia; Primates; Indriidae.